UCAUCGGUGAUUCAGUGACACAAUGCUCGCCUGCCAAGCGGGCGACCCGAGUUCGAUUCCCGGCCAAUGCA
Parelaphostrongylus tenuis is the source of this 71-nucleotide non-coding RNA. Lineage: Eukaryota; Metazoa; Nematoda; Chromadorea; Rhabditida; Metastrongylidae. The record is from the annotation of a GenBank genome assembly.